AUUGAACGCUGGCGGCGUGCCUAACACAUGCAAGUCGAGCGGCAGCGCGGGAGCAAUCCUGGCGGCGAGCGGCGGACGGGUGAGUAACGCUUGGGAAUCUGCCUGUUAGUGGGGGACAACCCGGGGAAACUCGGGCUAAUACCGCAUACGCACUACGGUGGAAAGCCGGGGACCGCAAGGCCUGGCGCUAACAGAUGAGCCCAAGUCGGAUUAGCUAGUUGGUAGGGUAACGGCCUACCAAGGCGACGAUCCGUAACUGGUCUGAGAGGACGACCAGUCACACCGGAACUGAGACACGGUCCGGACUCCUACGGGAGGCAGCAGUGGGGAAUAUUGGACAAUGGGGGAAACCCUGAUCCAGCGACGCCGCGUGGGUGAAGAAGGCCUGCGGGUUGUAAAGCCCUUUCAGUAGGGAAGAAAAGCCGAGUGCUAAUAUCACUCGG
Molecule: ribosomal RNA, 443 nt
Filed under: uncultured bacterium
Lineage: Bacteria
Description: bacterial SSU rRNA
Rfam family: Bacterial small subunit ribosomal RNA
Source: RNAcentral